RNAcentral lists this ribosomal RNA (486 nucleotides) under uncultured bacterium. RNAcentral's name for it is "bacterial SSU rRNA". It matches the Rfam family "Bacterial small subunit ribosomal RNA", at positions 28 to 497 of the family's 1533-position model. The record is from RNAcentral.
GAUGAACGCUAGCGGCAGGCUUAAUACAUGCAAGUCGAGGGGCAUCAAGGUACACGAAAGUGUAUUGUUGGCGACCGGCGGACGGGUGAGUAAUAGGUAGGUAACCUACCUCAUACUGAGGCAUAGCUGGGAGAAAUUCCAGGUAAUUCCUCAUGAGGUUAUAUGACACAUGUGAUAUAAUCAAAGGUAUCGCAAGGUACUGGUAUGAGAUGGGCUUACUGACCAUUAGCUAGUUGGUGAGAUAAGAGCUCACCAAGGCGAAGAUGGUUAGGGGUUUUGAGAGAGAGAUCCCCACAUUGGAACUGAGAUACGGUCCAGACUCCUACGGGAGGCAGCAGUAGGGAAUAUUGGGCAAUGGGCGGAAGCCUGACCCAGCCAUGCCGCGUGAAGGAAGACGGCCUUAUGGGUUGUAAACUUCUUUACUAUGCGACUAACUAGAUUUACGAGAUAAUUCUAUAGAAUGUAGCAUAGACAAAAAGCACCGGA